Molecule: ribosomal RNA, 221 nt
Filed under: uncultured bacterium
Lineage: Bacteria
Description: partial 16S ribosomal RNA
Rfam family: Bacterial small subunit ribosomal RNA
Source: RNAcentral
UGGCAGACGGGUGAGUAACGCGUGGGAACAUACCUCUUGGUUCGGAACAACACAGGGAAACUUGUGCUAAUACCGGAUAAGCCCUUACGGGGAAAGAUUUAUCGCCGAGAGAUUGGCCCGCGUCUGAUUAGCUAGUUGGUGAGGUAAGAGCUCACCAAGGCGACGAUCAGUAGCUGGUCUGAGAGGAUGAUCAGCCACAUUGGGACUGAGACACGGCCCAA